GGCUGCGGGUGAUACGGAUAACCCUGGUAAUUCUGAGGCUAAUACGAGACUGCAAACCCUGGUUGACCGUAAGGGAUACUGGGGGGCGUGUAAUGUUUCGCGAGGAAUAACCGGGAAGGGGUACACGCUCUGACCACGACAAAGACAGUGCCGGUGAAUCCUCGGAUGAUCUGGUUCUGAGUGGCUCUUGCGAGGUGCUUCUGACCUAUCAACUAGAUGGCAGCGUAACGGACAUGCCAUGGUUACAACGGGUACAGAGGAUUAGGGUUCGAUCCUGGAGAGUGGGCCUGAGAGAUUGCUCAUACUUCUAAGGAAGGCAGCAGGCGCGCAACGUUCCCCUUGGACAAUGUCCGAGGGCGUUAGGGGACAUAUGAAUGGUUGCCUUUUAGGUGGCCAAUUCAAAUGGGUUCGUUCUAAACAGCCCU
This 425-nucleotide ribosomal RNA is filed under the name Diderma globosum var. globosum. RNAcentral's name for it is "SSU rRNA". It matches the Rfam family "Eukaryotic small subunit ribosomal RNA", at positions 126 to 536 of the family's 1831-position model. Lineage: Eukaryota; Evosea; Eumycetozoa; Physariida; Didymiaceae. The record is from RNAcentral.